This 483-nucleotide ribosomal RNA is filed under the name uncultured bacterium. RNAcentral describes it as "partial 16S ribosomal RNA". It matches the Rfam family "Bacterial small subunit ribosomal RNA", at positions 28 to 523 of the family's 1533-position model. The record is from RNAcentral.
GACGAACGCUGGCGGCGUGCUUAACACAUGCAAGUCGAACGAUGAAGCCCAGCUUGCUGGGUGGAAGAGUGGCGAACGGGUGAGUAACACGUGAGUAACCUGCCCCUGACUCUGGGAUAAGCGCUAGAAAUGGCGUCUAAUACUGGAUAUGACCUAUCACCGCAUGGUGUGUAGGUGGAAAGAUUUAUCGGUUGGGGAUGGACUCGCGGCCUAUCAGCUUGUUGGUAAGGUAAUGGCUCACCAAGGCGACGACGGGUAGCCGGCCUGAGAGGGUGACCGGCGACACUGGAACUGAGACACGGCCCAGACUCUUACGGGAGGCAGCAGUGGGUAAUAUUGCACAAUGGGCGCAAGCCUGAUGCAGCAACGCCGCGUGAGGGAUGACGGCCUUCGGGUUGUAAACCUCUUUUAGUAGGGAAGAAGCGCAAGUGACGGUACCUGCAGAAAAAGCACCGGCUAACUACGUGCCAGCCGCCGCGGUAA